Entelurus aequoreus (snake pipefish) is the source of this 654-nucleotide long non-coding RNA. RefSeq lists it as uncharacterized. The transcript is spliced from 3 exons. The record is from RefSeq and is a predicted model, not a curated record. NCBI's taxonomy places the organism in Eukaryota, Metazoa, Chordata, Actinopteri, Syngnathiformes, Syngnathidae.
GACAGAGAGAGGACGGGAACAUUGAUUUGAAGGGAGAGUGAUGCUGGCGGGUUGACCACCUAAAAAAACAGCAUAAAAAUCUGACAAUAUAGUUACAGAAAUGAUGGCUUUACAAUACAGGUUCAUGAUCACCUUCUUGUCAUUGAAGAGCCCGUCGAUGUCCACCCUGCAGCAGUACGGCCCACUGUCGGUCCGCCGCACGUGAAGGAUGUCCAAGUCCAUCUGUCCCUCCAGGACGUCUCCUGUCAAUCGCAGAAUCGCUGACCUCAGAGAUGACGCCGUUUUCAUCCGUCUGGAUGAGGAUGUUGCUGCACCACAGGGUCCCGCAGCCGCGACCCCAGCAGACCCGACUCAAGCCAAAACGCUGCACCGAGUACUCGCAGGACAGGGAAGCCACGCCCCCUUCAGUCACUCUGAAACAGGAGGCCGGAACCAAACGGCCACCUGACCAGGCCGCAAAGUUUACCAAAAUAAUGCAUGCCAAUGUACAGUAGGUUUACAUGUCGUAUUUGUGUACAUAGUGGUGUCAUCAGUCGGCGUCUCACCUGACAUGAGGAGGAACACGGCGGCGAAGGUCUGACUCUGAGGGGUACAAUGGCAGCGAGGCAACGCCGAGGCCAUCCUGAUGUGUGUGUGGUCAUAAAUGACGCACGC